GGGGUUGUAACUCAGUGGCACAGUGCCUGCCUGGCAAGUGAGAAGCCCUGAGUUUAAAUCCUGGUACCCCCA
RNAcentral lists this transfer RNA (72 nucleotides) under Heterocephalus glaber (naked mole-rat). It matches the Rfam family "tRNA". Rfam says of the family: Transfer RNA (tRNA) molecules are approximately 80 nucleotides in length. Lineage: Eukaryota; Metazoa; Chordata; Mammalia; Rodentia; Bathyergidae. The record is from Rfam by way of RNAcentral.